AGUGAACGCUGGCGGUAGGCCUAACACAUGCAAGUCGAACGGCAGCACAGUAAGAGCUUGCUCUUACGGGUGGCGAGUGGCGGACGGGUGAGGAAUACAUCGGAAUCUACUUUUUCGUGGGGGAUAAUGUAGGGAAACUUACGCUAAUACCGCAUACGACCUACGGGUGAAAGCAGGGGAUCUUCGGACCUUGCGCGAUUGAAUGAGCCGAUGUCGGAUUAGCUAGUUGGCGGGGUAAAGGCCCACCAAGGGGACGAUCCGUAGCUGGUCUGAGAGGAUGGUCGGCCACAUUGGAACUGAGACACGGUCCAGACGCCUACGGGAGGCGGCAGUGGGGAAUAUUGGACAAUGGGCGCAAGCCUGAUCCAGCCAUACCGCGUGGGUGAAGAAGGCCUUCGGGUUGUAAAGCCCUUUUGUUGGGAAAGAAAAGCAGCAGGUUAAUACCCCGCUGUUCUGACGGUACCCAAAGAAUAAGCACCGGCUAACUUCGUG
RNAcentral lists this ribosomal RNA (492 nucleotides) under uncultured bacterium. RNAcentral describes it as "partial 16S ribosomal RNA". It matches the Rfam family "Bacterial small subunit ribosomal RNA", at positions 29 to 507 of the family's 1533-position model. The record is from RNAcentral.